This 318-nucleotide ribosomal RNA is filed under the name uncultured soil bacterium. RNAcentral describes it as "bacterial SSU rRNA". It matches the Rfam family "Bacterial small subunit ribosomal RNA", at positions 27 to 372 of the family's 1533-position model. The record is from RNAcentral.
GGAACGAACGCUGGCGGCAUGCCUAACACAUGCAAGUCGAACGAGACCUUCGGGUCUAGUGGCGCACGGGUGCGUAACGCGUGGGAAUCUGCCCUUGGGUUCGGAAUAACAGUUGGAAACGACUGCUAAUACCGGAUGAUGACGUAAGUCCAAAGAUUUAUCGCCCAGGGAUGAGCCCGCGUAGGAUUAGCUAGUUGGUGAGGUAAAGGCUCACCAAGGCGACGAUCCUUAGCUGGUCUGAGAGGAUGAUCAGCCACACUGGGACUGAGACACGGCCCAGACUCCUACGGGAGGCAGCAGUAGGGAAUAUUGGACAAU